UGGAUUUGAGAGGGAGCAGGGAAUAUGGG
RNAcentral lists this non-coding RNA (29 nucleotides) under Mus musculus (house mouse). Lineage: Eukaryota; Metazoa; Chordata; Mammalia; Rodentia; Muridae. The record is from RNAcentral.